GGCUGGUCUGAGUGCAGUGAUAUUUACAGCUAAUUGAUCACAACCAGUCACAGAUUCCUUUGUUCCUUCUCCACUCCCACUGCUUCACUUGACUAGCCUAAA
This is an unclassified non-coding RNA of Microcebus murinus (gray mouse lemur), 102 nucleotides long. It matches the Rfam family "Y RNA". Rfam says of the family: Y RNAs are components of the Ro ribonucleoprotein particle (Ro RNP), in association with Ro60 and La proteins. The Y RNAs and Ro60 and La proteins are well conserved, but the function of the Ro RNP is not known. The record is from Ensembl. Lineage: Eukaryota; Metazoa; Chordata; Mammalia; Primates; Cheirogaleidae.